Molecule: ribosomal RNA, 301 nt
Filed under: uncultured bacterium
Lineage: Bacteria
Description: partial 16S ribosomal RNA
Rfam family: Bacterial small subunit ribosomal RNA
Source: RNAcentral
CAGUCGCCGCGGUAAUACGUAGGGUGCAAGCGUUAAUCGGAAUUACUGGGCGUAAAGCGUGCGCAGGCGGUUCUAUAAGACAGAUGUGAAAUCCCCGGGCUCAACCUGGGAACUGCAUUUGUGACUGUAGAGCUGGAGUGCGGCAGAGGGGGAUGGAAUUCCGCAUGUAGCAGUGAAAUGCGUAGAUAUGCGGAGGAACACCGAUGGCGAAGGCAAUCCCCUGGGCCUGCACUGACGCUCAUGCACGAAAGCGUGGGGAGCAAACAGGAUUAGAUACCCCCGUAGUCCCUGUCUCUUAUAC